RNAcentral lists this ribosomal RNA (488 nucleotides) under uncultured bacterium. RNAcentral describes it as "bacterial SSU rRNA". It matches the Rfam family "Bacterial small subunit ribosomal RNA", at positions 28 to 507 of the family's 1533-position model. The record is from RNAcentral.
GAUGAACGCAGCGGCAGGCUUAAUACAUGCAAGUCGAGGGGCAGCGCGGGUAGCAAUACCUGGCGGCGACCGGCAAAACGGGUGCGGAACACGUACGCAAACCUUCCCAAAAACUGGUGAAUAGCCCUCCGAAAGGAGGAUUAAUACACCGUACCAUAAUGAAGAGGCAUCUCUUUGUUAUUAUAGCCGCAAGGCGGUUUUGGAUGGGCGUGCGCCUGAUUAGGUAGUUGGCGGGGUAACGGCCCACCAAGCCUGCGAUCAGUAACUGGUGUGAGAGCACGACCAGUCACACGGGCACUGAGACACGGGCCCGACUCCUACGGGAGGCAGCAGUAAGGAAUAUUGGUCAAUGGACGCAAGUCUGAACCAGCCAUGCCGCGUGAAGGAUGACGGCCCUCUGGGUUGUAAACUUCUUUUAUCUGGGACGAAAAAAGGGCUUUCUAGCUCACUUGACGGUACCAGAGGAAUAAGCACCGGCUAACUCCGUG